CAGAUCUGCAAUCACCUACUCCUACAAGAACUCAUCACCAACACUCACUCCCAUCUGGAUCGUUGUGCCGUUUGUGGUUAAUCUGAGUCACAAGUCCAGCUAAAGUUUAAUGUUCAAUCUGCUAAUCCACAUUAUCACAUACAAAGCCCGCCCGCCAGCCAGCCAGAGCAUCAACUCCCAUCGAUUCAUGCCCUCACCCCCAGCCCUGGACCCCCCGACUAGCGACCGAUUCUCUUUCCCCUGCAGUUCCUGAAGAAAGUUCCUUAACUGCCGUCGUUCUGCUUUUGAGUUCAGCUGCAAUCAAGACAAGAUUGUCACAAUAUCCCAAUUUUCAACUCUGAUAUGAUUCUAGUAAAAAUCGUAUGAUACUGAUAUCUCUUUUGAAACCAAGGCUAUAAAACGGAAGUCCUAGACACCCAAUUUCAGACCUUGGUGAGUCUCUUCUGGAUGGUCUGUCCCUGCUUCAUCUUGGAGAAGUAGUGGUAGUACAGGGACACGUAGGUCAUGAUGGACUUCUCAUCCGGGUGAGGAACCACCAUGUCGUCCACCUCCAGCAGCUGCAUGAUGCCAAACUCUCGCUCAGCCAUGGAGAAGGCGUGCUCCAAGUUACGACGGGGGUCAUCGGCAUGGAGACGGCGGUAAUCAAACAGAUCAACAGAGCCUCCUUUGCCGAGCGAUGAGCCACACUACCUCCUCCACCAGCCUGAGGAGAGAGCGAGAGGAGAAGAGGAAAGGAAAUGAGGAGAGGAGAGGAAGGCAGGAAAGAAAGGAAGGAAGGAUGGAAGGAUGGAAGGACAGAAGAAAGGAAGGAAAAGCACAGUUAGAACGACAAAAAUAGAAUAGCCACAAGGAAUGGUGUGGGUUUAAUUCCCUACCUCGUCCAGGUUGAUGGGUCCAAUCUGGAACCUGAGGAUGAUGAUCCAAAGCAGACCGAGGAUCAGCGUGCGGUCUCCGUCCACCACAUUCUCUGGACCAAUCAGAUCCACCCGAAUCUGAAAGAAAAGAUCCAGAGGGGGUUGAGAAAGAUUUACAUUUUCUGAACUCUGAAUGACAUGGGGGAGCAGUCUUUGGACUUGGACAGGUGCGUUACCAUGGUUUUAAUGCAUCAGAGUGACUUGGAAAGACAGUGGACUCUCAGUUUGCGGCGGCUGGGUGGCGGCAGCUUCUCUCUGGAGAUGAACUCCAGCAGACGGAUCAGAACGACUCCGGUC
This is a non-coding RNA of Labrus bergylta (ballan wrasse), 1211 nucleotides long. The record is from RefSeq and is a predicted model, not a curated record. Lineage: Eukaryota; Metazoa; Chordata; Actinopteri; Labriformes; Labridae.